Molecule: long non-coding RNA, 889 nt
Organism: Rana temporaria (common frog)
Lineage: Eukaryota; Metazoa; Chordata; Amphibia; Anura; Ranidae
Exons: 4
Source: RefSeq, a predicted model, not a curated record
CAGGGAUUUGUAAACUGCAGGGGUUUCAUUCCUUUUACCCCUGGCUUUCCUGCAUGUCCCUGGAUCUCUUUUUGGCCCUUUGUCCAUAUACUUACUACUUUAAUACCUUUACCUCGUUUGUGUCCUUGGCCUGGUAUACAUUGAACAAUGUCCCCUCCUUAUUUAAAUGGCCUUAUCAUUUUCCUAUUAUAUAUUUUAUGUCUGGUGUCCUUCCCAGCAGCUUUUUUUGCCGUUUUUUACAACCAAUAAUCAUUUCCCAGUUUAACCUUCACUGCUGACACCUUCUCAGCAGUCUUUGUCUCCGCACCGCCCCUUCCCUUUACAUCAGCCUAUUCCCAUUUACUUCCUGUCCCACUCUCCUUUCCGUGUCAGGUGACUGACUGUCACCUGACAGGCCUUCUCAGUCUUUUCCCCAUGCUGUCUGUUUACUACUGCCCACUUCCACACUACCGGCCUAUUACGGCUCGCCUGGUCUCUCCGACCACGCCCGCCGUACCUAGGCCCGCCCCCUUACUUCCCUAUAUAAACCUCUAGCCGUCCAAACAAUGUCAGACAUUGCUGGACGGCAGAGGUACUAGUGACAUGUCUGGUGGCCACACUGAGCGCUUGUCUCUUAUUGGAGCUCUGCUAGCUCUCUACUGACACCUCUGGCCAAAUUUAAUAUGACACAUUUCUGCUAACCUCAGGUUUUUACAUUAUCAUAUGUUACUUUGUGACUAUAUGGGCCUGAGGUCUUGCUAUAUGUGAUUCUGCACCGCCGGCUUCCUUCCUCUUAAUUUCAUCCAGAGGAGUCUUUCUGCGUCCUGAUAGUGGUGUCCUUUCUCUGGGGUGUGCAGGGUUGAUUAAACGCUGUGAUUGAAAAGUGGUUCUUAUACUCGUUGACUACAUA